UUGUUGCCAAGCCAAAAAUUCUGUUAAUAGUUAAUAUUUCAUCAAGCUCCAUCAACUUAUGUUUCAAUAAAAUGGUCUGUUUGGUCAAGUCUUUGUUUGGUUAAAUUUGCAGGCUGAAUUAAAUGUAUUCUUGUUAUUUUUUUUUUAGUUGUUUACUUCUUAUUAUCUGCAUUCAAACUUUAUUUCCCUGCCAGAAUUGAUCUAUAGGUGAGACUGACAAUAAUGUUUAGUUGUGACACAAUUUAGCUGAAAGUGUACAGGGUACCCAGCUUUAAUGAAAAGCACAUUAGUAAAUCUAUCAAUGAAAAUAUGUCAAUUUUAAAAUGUACAUUUUGCCUUACUUUGUUAGGUGUAUGCUCAAGCAAAUAUAAUGGUGAGAGUUUUAUUUGUGUUCAGAGCAGGUUAAGGUAAGCCUCUUUAGAACUUAUUGCAGUUCUUUAUACUGUACACAGCUCCUCUGUGGUUUAAUAAAAAAGAGAGUCUCCAUAAGCUGCAAAUUGCAUACAAUGAUUGUAUCAGGAUUCUUCUUUAAAAAAAAAAAACAGCUUCUCUUGUUAUCUGUAUUGAUUUGUACUCAUAUGUAUAUAUGCUCUAUAUGUCAUGUACAUAUGCAGAUAUUUGACUGAACUUGUGGAUAUGUGCAGGUAUAGAUUUUUCAUAGAGGAAUAUGAUUAGGUAUCUGUACAGUUGUGGAUGUACAAGUGCAUAUGUAUCUACAUUUCAAAUAUGUUUCUUUAUUAUUAUUUGCUGGCAUUGGAGGGAUUUGGGGUUUGUUCUUUAAAAUGUGAAAAACUUUAAAUAAAAUAU
Danio rerio (zebrafish) is the source of this 807-nucleotide non-coding RNA. NCBI's taxonomy places the organism in Eukaryota, Metazoa, Chordata, Actinopteri, Cypriniformes, Danionidae. The record is from RefSeq and is a predicted model, not a curated record.